RNAcentral lists this transfer RNA (77 nucleotides) under Aeromonas salmonicida. RNAcentral's name for it is "tRNA-Ile(gat)". It matches the Rfam family "tRNA". From Rfam's summary of the family: Transfer RNA (tRNA) molecules are approximately 80 nucleotides in length. Their secondary structure includes four short double-helical elements and three loops (D, anti-codon, and T loops). The record is from RNAcentral. Lineage: Bacteria; Pseudomonadati; Pseudomonadota; Gammaproteobacteria; Aeromonadales; Aeromonadaceae.
UGGGUCUGUAGCUCAGGUGGUUAGAGGCGCACCCCUGAUAAGGGUGAGGUCGGUGGUUCGAGUCCACUCAACCCACC